GACGAACGCUGGCGGCGUGCUUAACACAUGCAAGUCGAACGGAAAGGCACUGCUUUUGUGGGGUUCUCGAGUGGCGAACGGGUGAGUAACAGGUGAGUAACCUGCCCUUGUCUUUGGGGUAACUUCAGGAAACUGGGGCUAAUCCCAGAUAGGAUCUCCUGCUGCAUUGUGGGGGUUGGAAAUUUUCGGCGGUUGGGGAUGGACGCGCGGCUUAUCAGCUUGUUGGUGGGGUAGUGGCUUACCAAGGCUUUGACGGGUAGCCGGCCUGAGAGGGUGACCGGCCACAUUGGGACUGAGAAAGGGCCCAGAGGGAUACGGGAGGCAGGAGUGGAGGAUAGUGCACAAUGGGCGGAAUCCGGAAGCAGCAACGCCGGGUGCGAGAUGACUGCCUUCGGGUAGAAAAAAGCUUUCGCCUGUGACGAAGCGGUAGUGACGGUAAUGAGUAAAGAAGCACCGGCUAACUACGUG
This 468-nucleotide ribosomal RNA is filed under the name uncultured bacterium. RNAcentral describes it as "partial 16S ribosomal RNA". It matches the Rfam family "Bacterial small subunit ribosomal RNA", at positions 28 to 507 of the family's 1533-position model. The record is from RNAcentral.